GAUGAAGAACGUAGCGAAAUGCGAUAAGUAAUGCGAAUUGCAGAAUUUCCGUGAGUCAUCGAAUCUUUGAACGCACAUUGCGCCCCUUGGUAUUCCGAGGGGCAUGCCUAUUCGAGCGUCAUUAUCACCCCUCAAGCCUAGCUUGGUGUUGAGACCUGCUGUCAAGGCAGUCUCUAAAAUCAGUGGCAGUGCUGUCAGGCUCUAAGCGUAGUAAAUCUAAUCGCUAUAGACACCUGGUGGACACUCGCCAGAACCCCCCCAUUUUUUAAUGAUUGACCUCGGAUUAGGUAGGGAUACCCGCUGAACUUAAGCAUAUCAAUAAGCGGAGGA
This 330-nucleotide unclassified non-coding RNA is filed under the name soil metagenome. RNAcentral describes it as "partial contains 5.8S ribosomal RNA, internal transcribed spacer 2, and large subunit ribosomal RNA". The stretch from base 1 to 121 matches the Rfam family "5.8S ribosomal RNA", at positions 35 to 154 of the family's 154-position model. The record is from RNAcentral.